This 429-nucleotide ribosomal RNA is filed under the name Bacteroidota bacterium. RNAcentral describes it as "Bacteroidetes bacterium partial 16S ribosomal RNA". It matches the Rfam family "Bacterial small subunit ribosomal RNA", at positions 355 to 776 of the family's 1533-position model. The record is from RNAcentral. Lineage: Bacteria; Pseudomonadati; Bacteroidota.
UAGGGAAUCUUCCGCAAUGGGCGAAAGCCUGACGGAGCAACGCCGCGUGAGUGAUGAAGGUCUUCGGAUCGUAAAACUCUGUUAUUAGGGAAGAACAAAUGUGUAAGUAACUAUGCACAUCUUGACGGUACCUAAUCAGAAAGCCACGGCUAACUACGUGCCAGCAGCCGCGGUAAUACGUAGGUGGCAAGCGUUAUCCGGAAUUAUUGGGCGUAAAGCGCGCGUAGGCGGUUUUUUAAGUCUGAUGUGAAAGCCCACGGCUCAACCGUGGAGGGUCAUUGGAAACUGGAAAACUUGAGUGCAGAAGGGGAGAGUGGAAUUCCAUGUGUAGCGGUGAAAUGCGUAGAUAUAUGGAGGAACACCGGUGGCGAAAGCGGCUCUCUGGUCUGUAACUGACGCUGAGGCUCGAAAGCGUGGGGAGCGAACAGG